Molecule: ribosomal RNA, 520 nt
Filed under: uncultured Diversispora
Lineage: Eukaryota; Fungi; Glomeromycota; Glomeromycetes; Diversisporales; Diversisporaceae
Description: bacterial SSU rRNA
Rfam family: Eukaryotic small subunit ribosomal RNA
Source: RNAcentral
AGCAGCCGCGGUAAUUCCAGCUCCAAUAGCGUAUAUUAAAGUUGUUGCAGUUAAAAAGCUCGUAGUUGAAUUUCGGGAUUCGUCCAUUGGUCAGGCUUAACUGUCUGUACUGAUGUGUCGGAUUUCUACCUUCUGAAGAACCUUCAUGCCAUUAAUUUGGUGUGUUGGGGAAUCAGGACUGUUACUUUGAAAAAAUUAGAGUGUUUAAAGCAGGCUAACGCUUGAAUACAUUAGCAUGGAAUAAUGAAAUAGGACGUUCGAUCCUAUUUUGUUGGUUUCUAGGAUUGACGUAAUGAUUAAUAGGGAUAGUUGGGGGCAUUAGUAUUCAAUUGUCAGAGGUGAAAUUCUUGGAUUUAUUGAAGACUAACUACUGCGAAAGCAUUUGCCAAGGAUGUUUUCAUUAAUCAAGAACGAAAGUUAGGGGAUCGAAGACGAGUCAGAUACCGUCGUAGUCUUAACCAUAAACCUAUGCCGACUAGGGAUCGGAUGAUGUUAAAUUUUUUAUCGUACUCAUUCGGCG